GGUUCUAUAUUCAAAAUUGAUUUUAAAUUGCAAAUUUAAAGGUAAAGUUUAACUUUUAGAGCCU
Molecule: transfer RNA, 64 nt
Filed under: Languriidae sp. KM-2017
Lineage: Eukaryota; Metazoa; Arthropoda; Insecta; Coleoptera; Erotylidae
Description: tRNA-Cys
Source: RNAcentral